UACAGAGGGGGCAAGCGUUGUUCGGAAUUACUGGGCGUAAAGGGCGCGUAGGCGGCCGCCUAAGUCAGACGUGAAAUCCCUCGGCUCAACCGGGGAACUGCGUCUGAUACUGGGUGGCUUGAAUCCGGGAGAGGGAUGCGGAAUUCCAGGUGUAGCGGUGAAAUGCGUAGAUAUCUGGAGGAACACCGGUGGCGAAGGCGGCAUCCUGGACCGAUACUGACGCUGAGGAGCGAAAGCCAGGGGAGCAAACGGG
Molecule: ribosomal RNA, 253 nt
Filed under: uncultured bacterium
Lineage: Bacteria
Description: partial 16S ribosomal RNA
Rfam family: Bacterial small subunit ribosomal RNA
Source: RNAcentral